Molecule: unclassified non-coding RNA, 488 nt
Filed under: uncultured Glomus
Lineage: Eukaryota; Fungi; Glomeromycota; Glomeromycetes; Glomerales; Glomeraceae
Description: SSU rRNA
Rfam family: Eukaryotic small subunit ribosomal RNA
Source: RNAcentral
AGCAGCCGCGGUAAUUCCAGCUCCAAUAGCGUAUAUUAAAGUUGUUGCAGUUAAAAGCUCGUAGUUGAAUUUCGGGACCAAUUUGUUGGUCGUGCCUCGGUACGUACUGGUAUUAUUGGUUUCUCCCUACUGAAGAACCUCGAUGCCAUUAAUUUGGUGUCGUGGGGAAUCAGGACUGUUACUUUGAAAAAUUAGAGUGUUUAAAGCAAGCAUACGCUUGAAUACAUUAGCAUGGAAUAAUGAAAUAGGACGUUUGAUUCUAUUUUGUUGGUUUCUAGGAUCGACGUAAUGAUUAAUAGGGAUAGUUGGGGGCAUUAGUAUUCAACUGUCAGAGGUGAAAUUCUUGGACUUAUUGAAGACUAACUACUGCGAAAGCAUUUGCCAAGGAUGUUUUCAUUAAUCAAGAACGAAAGUUAGGGAUCGAAGACGAUCAGAUACCGUCGUAGUCUUAACCAUAAACGAUGCCGACCAGGGAUCGGCGGAUGUUG